Molecule: ribosomal RNA, 699 nt
Filed under: uncultured bacterium
Lineage: Bacteria
Description: bacterial SSU rRNA
Rfam family: Bacterial small subunit ribosomal RNA
Source: RNAcentral
AGAGUUUGGAUCCUGGCUCAGGACGAACGUUGGCGGUGCGCUUAAUGCAUGCAAGUCGAGGGAGAACCUUUCGAUCCGUAAGGACCGAAUGGGGAAACCGGCGAACGGGUGCGUAACACGUGAGGAACCUGCCCCGAAGACCGGGAUAGCCCGAGGAAACUCGGAUUAAUACCGGAUACCCUCCUCGGACCACAUGGUCUGUUGAGGAAAUGGUCCGCCGCUUCGGGAUGGCCUCGCGGCCUAUCAGCUUGUUGGUGAGGUAAUGGCUCACCAAGGCAAAGACGGGUAGCUGGUCUGAGAGGACGAUCAGCCACACUGGGACUGAGACACGGCCCAGACUCCUACGGGAGGCAGCAGCAGGGAAUAUUGCACAAUGGGCGAAAGCCUGAUGCAGCGACACCGCGUGCGGGAUGAAGGCCCUCGGGUUGUAAACCGCUUUCAGGAGGGACGAAAAUGACGGUACCUCCAGAAGAAGGCCCGGCCAACUACGUGCCAGCAGCCGCGGUAAUACGUAGGGGCCAAACGUUGUCCGGAUUUAUUGGGCGUAAAGGGCUCGUAGGCGGUUCAACAAGUCGAUCGUGAAAGCCCGGGGCUCAACCCCGGGACGCCGGUCGAAACUGUUGUGACUAGGGUCCGGUAGAGGUGAGUGGAAUUCUCGGUGUAGCGGUGGAAUGCGCAGAUAUCGAGAGGAACACCAGU